AUUCAGCUGAUGAGUCCCAAAUACGACGAAACGCGCGUCAAACUAGAU
RNAcentral lists this non-coding RNA (48 nucleotides) under Schistosoma mansoni. Lineage: Eukaryota; Metazoa; Platyhelminthes; Trematoda; Strigeidida; Schistosomatidae. The record is from RNAcentral.